CGUUCAGUAGCUCAGUUGGUAGAGCAGGUUCUUCAUACGGACAAGGUCAGUGGUUCAAUUCCACUCUGAACGA
This is a transfer RNA of 73 nucleotides. It matches the Rfam family "tRNA". Rfam says of the family: Transfer RNA (tRNA) molecules are approximately 80 nucleotides in length. The record is from Rfam.